GCGAGGAUGUUCCCGAACUCAACCCCGCCGCCCCGUCCCGCACAUACCACACCAUCUCUCUCCCCCGAUCCACACGACCACCUCUCUGCCCCGAUCCUCUUGACCACCCACCGCCGACCUGGCUCCGGCGAGCCACCCGCCGCCGGCCCUUGGCUUUGGCGCCACCGACGGACGCCUCGACGCGCCACCCAGCACACCGCCCCUGCCUCCGGCGCUCUACCCCCCGCUACCCCCACGACCUCGACGCGCCACCCUCCGCCGUCCCCGCGGCCUCGACGCACCACCCUCUCCCGCCCCCACGGCCUCGACGCGCCACCCGUAGAUGCCCCCCAGUCACCCACGGCCUGGACGCGCGCAUCCCCCGCGGCUGCCCAGACCCGAAGCACCUCCUGCAGCGAUCCCCUCAGCCCCGCUGUCGCUCCCACCAGGACCCAGACGCAUCUCCUGCAGCCCUCCCCUCCCCCUGGCCCCGAGAAUCCUCCUGCUGCCACUCAUCCUCGACGCGCCUCCCGCAGUCGGACCUCCAGAAGCAGAGCAGAUCCCAUGCUCCUGCAGGUCAAUUGCGACUCCCGCGGACGGUCAAUCUCCACUGGCGCCCUUGCAUCGUCUCUUGCAUCGCAAAAAAUCCUUCUCCCCCUUAAACUGCCAGCGAUGGCAACGGUGUCCGGGUCCAGUCCUGCUCCCCUCCUGACCAACCACCGCCUCACCAUCCCUCUGGGCGACCUGCAGCUGGGGGAGGUCUCGAACUGCAGCUUGAGGAGGUCUCGACCUGCAGGCGACGAUCUUACUAAAAGAUCGAUAUGAGCUCAAGCACGUUAGCCAGCUAGGCUUUAAGCACCGUCUCCAUGGAUCGAUCGCCCUGACUGAAUGACCCAACCACGUUAAUCAACAGGAAAUAGGCGAGAGAGAGAGAGAGAGAGUCUGGGUUACAUACAGUGUACAUUAGCUGUGGCAGAGAAAAUAUAUGUUCGAAUUCUUGCACCGUUGUGCUAGAUAACACAGCUUAUUAUUCAGUGAUUUGCACAAACACUUCACCUGGAGGUAUUGACUUGCAGCAUGUCGCGCCUGCCGCUGCCGCCGAGGUCCACCACAUACAGUGGAUGCUGCGGCAACCACUCCCACCACUGUCUGUUGCCGAUGCGUGCAACCACGUCCAGCCACCCACUGGACGUGGGCACAGAGGCAGGGCCACGCCGAGGGAGCUCGAGCUCCACCUCCCGCAGCCGCUUCCCCUGCAGGUUGUAGCGGAAAAAUAAAAAACAGAAGUUCAAAGAUGAAAUUUGAAGAAGGAAAUAUGCAACAAUCAAAGAAGUGCGGGUCUCAUUACAGAGAAGGAGAACGCCUUGCGAUCCAGCCGAGUUGACUCCUGCCAUCGGCACUGCAUAAUUAUCACUGGAUGCCCAUGGCCACCGGUUGGAUAAUUAGCACUGAACGACUUGCAAUCCAGAAGAAAGUUGCGCCCAUAACCCGUGGAGAUCUAUCACGUUGUGCAGUUGGUCGUGAUGUCUCCUGGAGCUUCAGUUUUAUGACCUUGAUGCAUUUUCUUCUUUUUUGAUGUGCCAUUUGAUGCAUAAAUUAUCACUGGAUGCCCAUGGCGGGUGCACAGUAUGUGUUUGUGUUAGUUCCCGACAGGUUCCAUCAUGUACUAAAUGGUGAUGGAUAGAGAGAUCCAAUAUUCAUUUGUAUAGAAGUUCAAAUUUAAAUAAAAUAGAGGUUCAAUGUUUAUGAAA
This is a non-coding RNA of Aegilops tauschii subsp. strangulata, 1730 nucleotides long. The record is from RefSeq and is a predicted model, not a curated record. Lineage: Eukaryota; Viridiplantae; Streptophyta; Magnoliopsida; Poales; Poaceae.